UUUACCUUAGGCUUGUGUCAAUAACCACAAUUUGAAGCCAAAAUUUCACGUUCUGAAAUACUUAUGUCACCACCAAAUUCUCACUCACGUUUUAAAGCCGGUCUUUAUAUUUGCAACGGCUUUGACCAAGCGGACCCCACUUUCUCCCCAAAAUCGCACGUCUAAAGUUGGAAGCACUGAGUUGGACGCAGGCCCGGACGCAGCCGUGCUAACAGCGUCCUUGUUUGGUUGUGCGUCGGACGCCGGAAAACACGCCUAUAAGGAACGGCCUAAACGUUCUCACCUCACGUUCUCAGAACCUUAGGGACAUUGAGCGUUCUGGACGCAAAUUCUCGUGGUCGUCCUCUUUAAGACGUGAGAAUUUGAGAUUGUGUGAUAUCUACUUUUGUUUAUCGUUUGAGAAUUUGGUGAAUGAGAGUAUUUUUUGUUAGGGUAAAAUUUUGAUAGUGGAAAAUGAUGUGACGUUAAUGUUGCAAUGCAUAACGUGAAAAUUUAAGUUUCUUAUUAA
Erigeron canadensis is the source of this 508-nucleotide long non-coding RNA. RefSeq lists it as uncharacterized. The record is from RefSeq and is a predicted model, not a curated record. NCBI's taxonomy places the organism in Eukaryota, Viridiplantae, Streptophyta, Magnoliopsida, Asterales, Asteraceae. The transcript is spliced from 2 exons.